Molecule: non-coding RNA, 148 nt
Filed under: Pan paniscus (pygmy chimpanzee)
Lineage: Eukaryota; Metazoa; Chordata; Mammalia; Primates; Hominidae
Also listed under: 1 other name
Source: Rfam by way of RNAcentral
GCCAGGCAUGGUGGUGUAUGCCUGUAAUCCCAGCUACUUGGGAGGCUGAGGCAGGAUAAUCACUUGAACCCAGGAGGUGGAGGUUGCAGUGAGCCGAGAUCAUGCCACUGCACUCCAGCCUGGGUAACAGAGUGAGACUUCGUCUCAG